Molecule: long non-coding RNA, 864 nt
Organism: Polistes canadensis
Lineage: Eukaryota; Metazoa; Arthropoda; Insecta; Hymenoptera; Vespidae
Exons: 2
Source: RefSeq, a predicted model, not a curated record
UUUUGUUGUUCUUUCAUUGUUGUUGAAGAUAAUCUGGUAGAGCUAAUGUAAACAGAUAAAUACAUUCUGUGAUGCACACAUGUAUACGUAUAUAUGGGAUAGGUGCACAGUCAUGGGUUAACUAUGUAUAGCCGAGUAAUAGAGUUUGCCGAGUAGACAUGCGCCCUUCUUGGACCAAGGUGCCGGCCUUGCCCCAUAUUUCUUCGAAAUGGCCGCGCAGAGAGUGGAGUGACGUUCGAUAUCUUAAAAGUAGACGACGACGUCGUCAGAAAGUUGACGGUGUCGAAGAAGCCUCGACGACGACAGAGCCGACGACGACAGGGCCGACGACGACAGGGCCGACGACGACAGGGCCGACGACGCCGAUGACACUACGUUCCUCUCUCUUUCUGUUCUUUCGAGAGAGGUGAAGAGAAAGUGCAUCAAGACGCACUGGUCUAUACAAAGACAGAGUUGAUUACGAGAUUAUAUUCGUAAUAACUCUUUUCGCGAAUGGAUUCUACAGAUUUGUACAUUACACGUAUCUAAUAAUAAAAAUGAUACUAUCAUAACAUAAUUAAUUAUGUCCAUGUCGCAUAAAACUUCUUACGAGAUAAUAAAUCGGACUAUAUAUAGCGACCGUUUUUAUCAGUAACAUAGAGCGAUGAUGCUCGGUGCGUGAAGUACUAUUGAUUCGGCCUGCAGACAGAAUAGGCAGGCAUCCAUAUUCGAUUUUCAAGCGUGCCCAACUACAUUGUCAUUUAGUGACGUAUACGAAUAAAUCUUCAGUUCGAGAUACUGCAUCGUAUGUUCGCAUUAUGUUCCAAAUCAUGAAAUAUAUUCUGUGUAGAAAAAAGAAAAGAGAGUCAAUAAAUUAAAAAGAAA